Long non-coding RNA from Helianthus annuus (common sunflower), 815 nucleotides. RefSeq lists it as uncharacterized. The record is from RefSeq and is a predicted model, not a curated record. The transcript is spliced from 3 exons. Lineage: Eukaryota; Viridiplantae; Streptophyta; Magnoliopsida; Asterales; Asteraceae.
ACACAUAUGUAACACAUGUUUGUAACGUGUGUUACACUGGAGGGUAACACAUCUAAAACAAUUGUUGUGGGGAGCACAACUGUCCAGUCUAGAAAACAAAAACAAAAGCUAUACGACGACGACAAACAAAUACGAAAGGUUGUGCUAAAAUAUGUUACAUGUUUGUUUAGUGCUUGCAGCGAGGGAGUUGGUUCUACCGGAUAGUAGUUGUUUGAAGUAUAAAAACUCAAAAUUUGGGGAGUCUUCAAGUUCAGGGCAUAAUUGGGUAGAAGCAGUUGCAGCCAAACGAGAAGGGAUCUUGGCAGGAAGAAAGAGAACCACAAUAUCGGAUACGACAAAAGAUGGCCAUAAAGCGAAAGAAGGUAGAUGGAGAAACCGAUGAAGAAUGGGAACAAGAAGUCGAUGAAGGGCAGGUGGUGGGUACCUUUGACGUUGUACAGAAGUUACCCUCUAGUGUAACACAUGUUACAAACUUGUGUUACAUAAGUUCAACCUCUUUGUUACCAAAAAUCAGGGCUGCACAUAUGUAAGACAUGUUUGUAACUUAUGUUACACUAGAGGGUAACACAUGUAUGAUCAUUUUUGGAUCAUUUGUAUAUAUUUAAGUAUAAACCUACAACAUCGAUACCCCAAAAAGGUUACACAUGUUACGACAGAAUGGGAAAUGUGUAGCAGCGUUCAAUACUGUUCUUUCACUCUAUAGUGUGUAACAUGUGUGACAUGGCGUUUGUCAGCAAAACAUAUAACUUGUAAGGUGAUACGGUUGUAUCUUUAAAAUAUGUUUACCUAUAAGUACUUACAUGUUACAUGUUGUA